GACGAACGCUGGCGGCGUGCUUAACACAUGCCAGUCGAACGGUGAAGCGCCUUCCUUUUUGGUGGGUGUGGAUGAGUGGCGAACGGGUGAGUAACACGUGAGUAACCUGCCCCCUUCUUCUGGAUAACCGCAUGAAAGUGUGGCUAAUACGGGAUAUUCUGGGUCUGUCGCAUGAUGGGUCUGGGAAAGAUAUUGUUUCGGUGGGGGAUGGGCUCGCGGCCUAUCAGCUUGUUGGUGGGGUGAUGGCCUACCAAGGCGGUGACGGGUAGCCGGCCUGAGAGGGUGGACGGUCACACUGGGACUGAGACACGGCCCAGACUCCUACGGGAGGCAGCAGUGGGGAAUAUUGCACAAUGGGCGCAAGCCUGAUGCAGCGACGCCGCGUGAGGGAUGGAGGCCUUCGGGUUGUGAACCUCUUUCGCCAGUGAAGCAGGCCUGCCUCGUUUGUGGGUGGGUUGACGGUAGCUGGAGAAGAAGCGCCGGCUAACUACGUG
Molecule: ribosomal RNA, 494 nt
Filed under: uncultured bacterium
Lineage: Bacteria
Description: partial 16S ribosomal RNA
Rfam family: Bacterial small subunit ribosomal RNA
Source: RNAcentral